GGGGCGGGCGCGGGGGCAGAGCGAAAGGCUUGAGGACCAGGUCGGGGCCGGGUUCCGAGUCGGGGAGCGGCUCCGGGCGGCAGCUAUGAGGCGGGACGUGCGCAUCCUGUUACUGGGCGAGGCCCAGGUGGGGAAGACGUCGCUGAUCCUGUCCCUGGUGGGCGAGGAGUUCCCCGAGGAGGUAAGGGGCACGCCCGCCGCGGGGGUGGGAGCGGGCCCAGCCGGGGGUCCCUGGUGAGCGCGCGGGUC
This 249-nucleotide long non-coding RNA is filed under the name Pan troglodytes (chimpanzee). RNAcentral's name for it is "long non-coding RNA NONPTRT005874". The record is from RNAcentral. Lineage: Eukaryota; Metazoa; Chordata; Mammalia; Primates; Hominidae.